GAUGAACGCUGGCGGCGUGCCUAAUACAUGCCAGUCGAGCGAACGGACGAGAAGCUUGCUUCUCUGAUGUUAGCGGCGGACUGGUGAGUAACACGUGGAUAACCUACCUAUAAGACUGGGAUAACUUCGGGAAACCGGAGCUAAUACCGGAUAAUAUUUUGAACCGCAUGGUUCAAAAGUGAAAGACGGUCUUGCUGUCACUUAUAGAUGGAUCCGCGCUGCAUUAGCUAGUUGGUAAGGUAACGGCUUACCAAGGCAACGAUGCAUAGCCGACCUGAGAGGGUGAUCGGCCACACUGGAACUGAGACACGGUCCAGACUCCUACGGGAGGCAGCAGUAGGGAAUCUUCCGCAAUGGGCGAAAGCCUGACGGAGCAACGCCGCGUGAGUGAUGAAGGUCUUCGGAUCGUAAAACUCUGUUAUUAGGGAAGAACAUAUGUGUAAGUAACUGUGCACAUCUUGACGGUACCUAAUCAGAAAGCCACGGCUAACUACGUG
RNAcentral lists this ribosomal RNA (497 nucleotides) under uncultured bacterium. RNAcentral's name for it is "partial 16S ribosomal RNA". It matches the Rfam family "Bacterial small subunit ribosomal RNA", at positions 28 to 507 of the family's 1533-position model. The record is from RNAcentral.